CGAGCGGCGGAUGGGUGAGUAACACGUGGGGAACCUGCCCCUAAGUCUGGGAUACCAUUUGGAAACAGGUGCUAAUACCGGAUAAUAAAGCAGAUCGCAUGAUCAGCUUUUGAAAGGCGGCGUAAGCUGUCGCUAAGGGAUGGCCCCGCGGUGCAUUAGCUAGUUGGUAAGGUAACGGCUUACCAAGGCGACGAUGCAUAGCCGAGUUGAGAGACUGAUCGGCCACAUUGGGACUGAGACACGGCCCAAACUCCUACGGGAGGCAGCAGUAGGGAAUCUUCCACAAUGGACGCAAGUCUGAUGGAGCAACGCCGCGUGAGUGAAGAAGGUUUUCGGAUCGUAAAGCUCUGUUGUUGGUGAAGAAGGAUAGAGGUAGUAACUGGCCUUUAUUUGACGGUAAUCAACCAGAAAGUCACGGCUAACUACGUGCCAGCAGCCGCGGUAAUACGUAGGUGGCAAGCGUUGUCCGGAUUUAUUGGGCGUAAAGCGAGCGCAGGCGGAAAAAUAAGUCUAAUGUGAAAGCCCUCGGCUUAACCGAGGAACUGCAUCGGAAACUGUUUUUCUUGAGUGCAGAAGAGGAGAGUGGAACUCCAUGUGUAGCGGUGGAAUGCGUAGAUAUAUGGAAGAACACCAGUGGCGAAGGCGGGCUCUCUGGUCUGCAACUGACGCUGAGGCUCGAAAGCAUGGGUAGCGAACAGGAUUAGAAUACCCUGGUA
This 716-nucleotide ribosomal RNA is filed under the name uncultured bacterium. RNAcentral describes it as "bacterial SSU rRNA". It matches the Rfam family "Bacterial small subunit ribosomal RNA", at positions 92 to 792 of the family's 1533-position model. The record is from RNAcentral.